CCCGAAGCCGAUUAUCUAACCUUUUGGAAGAAGUCGUCGAAGGUGGAAUCAAUAACUGGGGUGAAGUCGUAACAAGGUAGCCGUAUCGGAAGGGGCGGCUGGAUCACCUCCUUUCUAAGGAGA
RNAcentral lists this ribosomal RNA (123 nucleotides) under Clostridioides difficile. RNAcentral describes it as "partial 16S ribosomal RNA". It matches the Rfam family "Bacterial small subunit ribosomal RNA", at positions 1420 to 1533 of the family's 1533-position model. Lineage: Bacteria; Bacillati; Bacillota; Clostridia; Peptostreptococcales; Peptostreptococcaceae. The record is from RNAcentral.